CCAUUAGAGAUCUUUGCACAAAGUAUACACCCAACAAAUGCUAGAUGGGUGGAUUUCUGGGUAGAUAAAUGGGUGAAACAAAGGAAGAAAAAGCUUCUGUUUUGGGGCCAGAGCGGAGGAGCAGGAGGAAAAACACGCAUCUGGUUCCACUGCCUUCUGGUGCUGCCUGCGGAUCCCGGGAUAUACCCCGUCAAGUGAUGAGCAUGGAAUGCUGUGCACACAAUAGACAUAAGAGAUGCUUAAAUAUUGACGGGAGGAAGAGAGAGAAGGAA
Molecule: long non-coding RNA, 272 nt
Organism: Pongo pygmaeus (Bornean orangutan)
Lineage: Eukaryota; Metazoa; Chordata; Mammalia; Primates; Hominidae
Exons: 3
Source: RefSeq, a predicted model, not a curated record